CGUGGUGCCGGGGGGUUCUGGUGGCUCUCCGCCCCUGAGGGCGCUGGGGGUGAAGGGGGGGGGGGGUCACAAGCUCCCCCUGAGCCCCCAAAAAUCCCUUGUGUCCCUCCUCGCCUCCCACUGGCCGCUGGUUCCGCGCCAGUUUACUCACUUCCUGGACUACAACUCCCGAAAGACCGCGGGGCCCCGUAGGACGCCGAUAGAGCCGGGACUGCGGUUCCCGUCAUGCCCCGCGACCCGCGAGAGGCCAGUCAGGGCCGGGACUGUCCCCUAAGCACCGUCCCAGCUGCUCCCCGAGUGCUCCCCUGAGCCGUGAGUGCGCCCCGGGGCCCCACUUAUAGAUAUGCCUUAUAAGGAAAGCGGAAAAAGAGGAAGACUUGGGGCCUUCAUCCUACGGCCACCAGAAGGCAGAAAAAAAGACCCCCUAGCAACCGGAGGAGCACGUGCAGAAGACGGACCACGUCAUCCAGGAAUCCGGAGAAAAAGGACAAUAAAAAGCGAACUUUAAAGGGGGGAGGUGCGCGCCUAAGAGGAGCAAAGACUCUGGGCCGCCCAGCGCUGAAUCUUGCUUAUUCUUGCUUGCAUAAUAAUAAAGAUAAUUGUACCGUUCUUAAA
Zonotrichia albicollis (white-throated sparrow) is the source of this 615-nucleotide long non-coding RNA. RefSeq lists it as uncharacterized. Lineage: Eukaryota; Metazoa; Chordata; Aves; Passeriformes; Passerellidae. The record is from RefSeq and is a predicted model, not a curated record.